RNAcentral lists this long non-coding RNA (742 nucleotides) under Populus trichocarpa (black cottonwood). Its description in RNAcentral is "long non-coding RNA (PTRI_LNC001123)". The record is from RNAcentral. Lineage: Eukaryota; Viridiplantae; Streptophyta; Magnoliopsida; Malpighiales; Salicaceae.
UUUAUUUAGGUUUACUUUGAUAAUUGGAAAAAUAAAAAUUAGACAAUCGUAGAACUAUCUUUUGAUUAUUUAUCAAGAUUAUGGUUUUCUUCAGGCUUAUAAUAAAUACUCUUAUUGCAGCAUUCACUUUUUAUUAGAACUUAGAAGUGAUAUAACAAUUUGGAGAACGAAUCCACUUCUUACAUAAACCAACAUCUCAUUAUGUCGUAAUAUCGUACAUGGGGAUUCAAAUGAUUAUACAGUUCAUGCAAAUAUGCAAAGAAACUGAGAAUUUGAACCGAGAUUUGCUUUUCAAAUAUCAAUUUACGGGGAAAGAUCUUAAAAUUAAACCCUAACUCCUCGUUUUUUGGCACAUAGAGCUAAACUUGGAUGAGUAUAUGCCACCUUGUAUCUUCGAUCAUCAAUUGGGUAAAAAAAUAUGCCACCUUCUUUCCUCCACCUUGACUGUGCCAUACUCGGAUACUCCCCUGUUUGAUGGAUCCUUGAAAAGGGUAAAGAGAGUUCCACAUGAAGUUCUAGGUGACAAUAUCAUUCCUUGACUAGGCCAUUUUUUUUAAUUUCUUGGAAGAAGAGGAGGAUCGAUCAGCAUGGCCAGAGCAUGCAAACCAACUAUGGUGUGUGUGAGUGGUGAAUCCAAAAAAGGGCAAGAAAACUUCCAUGAUGCUAUGCUCUCAAAGGCCAACAAAUACAAUUACAGCCACCCAAAAAAGCUACAUUUAAAGCCAUGAUGGUGGAGUAGAAG